RNAcentral lists this ribosomal RNA (255 nucleotides) under uncultured bacterium. RNAcentral's name for it is "partial 16S ribosomal RNA". It matches the Rfam family "Bacterial small subunit ribosomal RNA", at positions 520 to 776 of the family's 1533-position model. The record is from RNAcentral.
GUAACGUAGGGACCAAGGCGUUGUUCGGAUUUACUGGGCGUAAAGAGCGCGUAGGCGGCUUAACAAGUCACUUGUGAAAUCUCCGGGCUUAACUCGGAACGGCCAAGUGAAACUGUCAAGCUAGAGUGCAGAAGGGCAAUCGGAAUUCUUGGUGUAGCGGUGAAAUGCGUAGAUAUCAAGAGGAACACCUGAGGUGAAGACGGGUUGCUGGGCUGACACUGACGCUGAGGCGCGAAAGCCAGGGGAGCAAACGGG